This 23-nucleotide small nuclear RNA is filed under the name Arabidopsis thaliana (thale cress). RNAcentral describes it as "snRNA_06491". The record is from RNAcentral. Lineage: Eukaryota; Viridiplantae; Streptophyta; Magnoliopsida; Brassicales; Brassicaceae.
AAGACCCAAGUGACAGACUUCCC